Molecule: ribosomal RNA, 119 nt
Filed under: Petromyzon marinus (sea lamprey)
Lineage: Eukaryota; Metazoa; Chordata; Hyperoartia; Petromyzontiformes; Petromyzontidae
Source: RNAcentral
GCCUACGACCAUAUCACCCAGAAUGCGCCCGAUCUCGUCUGAUCUCGGAAGCUAAGCAGGGUCGAGCUUGGAUAGUACUUGGAUGUGGGACUGCCUGGGAAUACCAGGUGUUGUAGGCU